This 1367-nucleotide ribosomal RNA is filed under the name uncultured prokaryote. RNAcentral describes it as "partial 16S ribosomal RNA". It matches the Rfam family "Bacterial small subunit ribosomal RNA", at positions 68 to 1442 of the family's 1533-position model. The record is from RNAcentral.
GGAGAAAGAAUGAAGAUUUAUCGGAAUUCUUUCUUAGCGGCGGACGGGUGAGUAACGCGUGGGCAACCUGCCCUAUACAGGGGGAUAACACGGAGAAAUUCGUGCUAAUACCGCAUAACAUCAUUUUGUUGCAUGAGCAUAACAACGAAAUGUUCUGGCGCUCCAGGAUGGGCCCGCGUCCCAUUAGCUUGUUGGUAGGGUAACGGCCUACCAAGGCGACGAUGGGUAGCCGGCCUGAGAGGGUGAACGGCCACACUGGGACUGAGAUACGGCCCAGACUCCUACGGGAGGCAGCAGUGGGGAAUAUUGCGCAAUGGGCGAAAGCCUGACGCAGCAACGCCGCGUGGAGGAUGAAGGUUUUCGGAUUGUAAACUCCUUUCAGCAGGGACGAAGGUUACCUUUGGUAACUGACGGUACCUGCAAAAGAAGCCCCGGCUAACUACGUGCUAAUACGUAGGGGGCAAGCGUUGUCCGGAAUUAUUGGGCGUAAAGCGCGCGCAGGCGGCCCGUUAAGUCAGAUGUGAAAUCCCUCGGCUCAACCGAGGACCUGCAUUUGAAACUGACAGGCUAGAGUACAGGAGAGGGAAGCGGAAUUCCUAAUGUAGCGGUGAAAUGCGCAGAUAUUAGGAAGAACACCGGUGGCGAAGGCGGCUUCCUGGACUGUUACUGACGCUGAGGUGCGAAAGCUAGGGGAGCAAACAGGAUUAGAUACCCUGGUAGUCCUAGCCGUAAACGAUGGGCACUAGGUGUAGGGGGUAUCAACUCCCUCUGUGCCGAAGCUAACGCAUUAAGUGCCCCGCCUGGGGAGUACGGCCGCAAGGCUAAAACUCAAAGGAAUUGACGGGGGCCCGCACAAGCGGCGGAGCAUGUGGCUUAAUUCGACGCAACGCGAAGAACCUUACCAGAACUUGACAUCGUGCGAAUUACCGGUAAUGCGGGAAGCCCUUCGGGGCGGAGUGACAGGUGCUGCAUGGUUGUCGUCAGCUCGUGUCGUGAGAUGUUGGGUUAAGUCCCGCAACGAGCGCAACCCUUAUUGUUAGUUGCCAUCAUUAAGUUGGGCACUCUAAUGAGACUGCCGGGGACAACUCGGAGGAAGGUGGGGAUGACGUCAAAUCAUCAUGCCCCUUAUGUUCUGGGCUACACACGUGCUACAAUGGGUAUUAACAACGAGAAGCAAGCUAGUGAUAGCAAGCAAACCUCUGAAAUAUACCCUCAGUUCAGAUUGUAGGCUGAAACUCGCCUACAUGAAGUCGGAGUUGCUAGUAAUCGCGGAUCAGCAUGCCGCGGUGAAUACGUUCCCGGGCCUUGUACACACCGCCCGUCACACCAUGGGAGUUGGAAGCACCCGAAGCCGGUGACUUAACCGA